AAAAGUUUUUUUUGAAGAGAUGAAUGUGAGUUUUAGAACGUAUGAAGAUUUUUAAAAAAGUAAGUGAUAAUGGAAGUAGGUGUAUGAAUUUGGAUUUGAAGUGUUUAUUGAAUAAAAAGAAAAUUACAUUUAUAUUGAACCAACAAAAAAAAAGUCACUCCAUUACUACCUUUUGGUGUUUUUUCAAUGUUAUGGGAGAGACUCAUGAGUUGAAUGGAAGUAAGUGAGUUUUUUUGAAUGGUAAAAGAUGGUUAUUU
This 257-nucleotide long non-coding RNA is filed under the name Lathyrus oleraceus (garden pea). RNAcentral's name for it is "Pisum sativum (pea) long non-coding RNA (PSAT_LNC002149)". The record is from RNAcentral. Lineage: Eukaryota; Viridiplantae; Streptophyta; Magnoliopsida; Fabales; Fabaceae.